CCUGAUGCAGCGACGCCGCGUGAGGGAUGACGGCCUUCGGGUUGUAAACCUCUUUCAGCAGGGACGAAGCGCAAGUGACGGUACCUGCAGAAGAAGCACCGGCCAACUACGUGCCAGCAGCCGCGGUAAUACGUAGGGUGCGAGCGUUGUCCGGAAUUACUGGGCGUAAAGAGUUCGUAGGCGGUUUGUCGCGUCGUCUGUGAAAACCCACCGCUCAACGGUGGGCCUGCAGGCGAUACGGGCAGACUUGAGUACUGCAGGGGAGACUGGAAUUCCUGGUGUAGCGGUGAAAUGCGCAGAUAUCAGGAGGAACACCGGUGGCGAAGGCGGGUCUCUGGGCAGUAACUGACGCUGAGGAACGAAAGCGUGGGUAGCAAACAGGAUUAGAUACCCUGGUAGUCCACGCCGUAAACGGUGGGCGCUAGGUGUGGGUUCCUUCCACGGGAUCUGUGCCGUAGCUAACGCAUUAAGCGCCCCGCCUGGGGAGUACGGCCGCAAGGCUAAAACUCAAAGGAAUUGACGGGGGCCCGCACAAGCGGCGGAGCAUGUGGAUUAAUUCGAUGCAACGCGAAGAACCUUACCUGGGUUUGACAUGUACUGGAAAGCCGUAGAGAUACGGCCCCCCUUGUGGC
This 632-nucleotide ribosomal RNA is filed under the name Rhodococcus sp. So1Pt_15. RNAcentral describes it as "bacterial SSU rRNA". It matches the Rfam family "Bacterial small subunit ribosomal RNA", at positions 382 to 1027 of the family's 1533-position model. Lineage: Bacteria; Bacillati; Actinomycetota; Actinomycetes; Mycobacteriales; Nocardiaceae. The record is from RNAcentral.